GACGAACGCUGGCGGCGUGCUUAACACAUGCAAGUCGUACGGUAAGGCCCUUUCGGGGGUACACGAGUGGCGAACGGGUGAGUAACACGUGAGUAACCUGCCCACAACUUUGGGAUAACGCUAGGAAACUGGUGCUAAUACUGGAUAUGUGCUCCUGCUGCAUGGUGGGGGUUGGAAAGCUCCGGCGGUUGUGGAUGGACUCGCGGCCUAUCAGCUUGUUGGUGGGGUAGUGGCCUACCAAGGCGGCGACGGGUAGCCGGCCUGCGAGGGUGACCGGCCACAUUGGGACUGAGAGACGGCCCAGACUCCUACGGGAGGCAGCAGUGGGGAAUAUUGCACAAUGGGCGCAAGCCUGAUGCAGCAACGCCGCGUGCGGGAUGACGGCCUUCGGGUUGUAAACCGCUUUCAGCAGGGACGAAGCUUUUUGUGACGGUACCUGCAGAAGAAGCACCGGCUAACUACGUG
This 465-nucleotide ribosomal RNA is filed under the name uncultured bacterium. RNAcentral's name for it is "partial 16S ribosomal RNA". It matches the Rfam family "Bacterial small subunit ribosomal RNA", at positions 28 to 507 of the family's 1533-position model. The record is from RNAcentral.